This 2244-nucleotide long non-coding RNA is filed under the name Homo sapiens (human). RNAcentral describes it as "HSALNT0144380". The record is from RNAcentral. Lineage: Eukaryota; Metazoa; Chordata; Mammalia; Primates; Hominidae.
GCGUGUGCCAGGAUGGGAUUCCCUGAGGAGUACAUCUGGAGCUGAGAAUUGGAGUUUGCUGGAGUGUUCACUGAAUGAGGGGUGGGAGGAGAGCCAGCAUUCAUACUGAAAGAGAAACCCACUGGCAGGAGGACACAGGGCAAGGUAAGAAGAGCUGUCCAAGAAAGGAAUUGCUAGAGGCUUCAUGGAACAAGUGGGAUGUAAGAUGCAUCUUCAAGAGUGAGUGACAUUUUGGCAUGGCAUUUGAGAGGUGACAAUCCAGAGGCUAUGAGCAACAGCCCCAGAUGGGAAAGCACCAAGGAGUGAAGAAGCUUACGAGCAAAAAGUAUUUCUUAGUUUUGCAGUUUCUAAAUGUAUCUAUGUUCUGCCCCUUUAAUCUCUAACAAUAUGAUUUUGAACUAAUUAAUAUAAAAUUAAUCCAUACAUUAGCUAAAGUAGAUAAUGACUUAAUGACUUCCACAUCCCAGGCAAUAAACUUUUGAAAAUGCUUCUAGCCCGCCACAUAAAAAUCUGGCAAAAUCAGUGAAAGAGAAUUUCAAGGACUGUUUUUCUUUUAAUUUAUAUCUCAAAGUAAUGGUGUACCAGGGAAAAUGUCCAGAUUCUAGUUCUGCACUACUUCAGAUCAGAGAUUUGCAGUAGGGAGAUUUGGCUCCCCAGGGGGCAUCUGGCAAUGUCUGGAGACAUUUCGGGUUGUCACAACUGGUGGGGGGUGCUACAGGCAUUAAGUGGGCAUAGGCUGGGGAUGCGGCUGCAUAGAACAGCUCCCACAACAGAAUUAUUCAGCCAAAGAAUUAUCAAUAGUGCCAAGGUUAAUGCACCUUGUUUUACACCAAGAAAUAACCUUUAAGACUGACCUUCUCAAAUCCUUAAUUUUGCAGAUGUUAUGUGUAACUUCCAAUAUAUGAAAUAAUUUGCAUGCAGCUGGCUAAUUAACAGUAUAUGGCCUGGGACUCAGGCUUUAUAGACCAGUGAUUUUCUUUCCUGAUGCAUUAGAUGUCCUGUGUGUUUUAUAUCGAAUGGCCAGCAUAUUUUAAUGCUGUCAGCUCUUAAUUCCAACACAGAGAGGAGUUACUAUAUAGAUGCCAAUUGCAUAGGGAGGAAUAUAGUUUUGAGAUCGGGCUUCUGAUGAUCCAGGAAGGGAAGGGAAGUAGGGGUUGCCCCAUCUCUGGGGUCUACAGCAACAUCACUGGAGCCCCAGAUGGGGCUGACCAGGAGCAUCAGUGUGUGAAGACCAGUCCAUGAUGCUGACACUCUUUAAUUAUGAAAGGAUGAAUAAUCUAGUUCUGCGUUCUUUCAGGAGACAAGGGACUUGUCCAAAGCAUGAACACUUUAUAAACAAUUUAACAAAUGUAAACUGUGAAAGAGAAAGACAAAUGUGUGAAUAUGAAAACUAGGGUCCCUGACAGGCCCACAGCCUCCAAACCCCUCCCUUCACUUCAGAAUGAAAGAAUCCUUCUGUGCCUGCAGGGGAGUGGGCCGUGGUGGGAGGAGGCUGGACCUGGGGUUGCGAGUCUGUGAAGGGCCCUAGACCCUGGCCUGAGUAAUGCCACUUACUGACCAUUUCAAUUUGGGCAAGACAUUUUCAUUCUCAGGGCCUUGAACUCCCCACCUAAGAAAUGAUGAAACCUGAGUCAGAGCUUCAGUAUUUGAGUUUAUCUUUGAGAUCAGGUUUAAGAUGCCUCAUUUUCCAGGUGAAGAAAUUAAAGUUUGGAAAAGUCAAGUUAUCUCUUGCAGGCCACAAAACUAGCAAGAGAACAAAGGGGGCAAUUGAUCAGAUUUUAUGCAAUAUCAAUGCUUGGGAGAAGAGGCUUGAGGCUUUAGGAGCAUUAGGGGCUGCAAUGGCUUUGGUCCCAUGAUCAGUAGCAUUCAUUUGCCCAUCCUCUCUGAAGUUCACUAAAGGGACCCUGUGUAUCCCUCAUCUGGCUUCCUCAUGCCUGGACCCCCAGAUGGGCAUCAUUUUUAAACCCAUGAGGCCUCAGGAUGGUGGCUCCUUCUCUCAUCAGCUACUCCUUCAACACUGGAAGGGAGCUCAUUCCAGACACAAUCAUAGAAAAAAUCACUCCAGCUAGGAAAAGCCAGAUGGACACCAAGAAAAGGCUAAUGUUUCACCAUGGCUGAACCACCUCACCUCACAGGGUGUCUUGUUUAGGGAAAUGAGAUUUUCAAACAAAGAAUCAGGAGCAGGUAAAAGCCACAAAGAAUCAGAUGAGAGAUACACUCAUUAGCAAACUUCCACACUGUCCA